GCCCCCCAGCCCCUUGCCCUGGCUGGCCCCCAGCCAACGAUAUUUGGUUUCCAUUUUUUAACAUUAAAGUUCUAUGAGGUAUUUGGUGCCUUAUCUCGAGUCCUCGGGGGAGGGGGCCCGGGGGGAGACCUGGGGCACACUUGCCCCUCCCUCCCUCCCACCCCCUUCCCAAUAUUUGGUUUCACAGCUGUAGUUAAAGCUUGGGAUUUGGUUAUUUUUCCCCCUCCCAGGGAUUUUCUUUUUUUGUUUUUCUUUUCCCAGUUAUGGGGGUUGGAUGGGGAGGGCAUCGGCCCCAUCCCUGCCCCCUGCUUCCUCCACUCCUCUCUGCCCCACUCCUCCCACACUAGGCUGGAGGACAGGUCCCAGGUGGCAGGAUUUGAUGGGGAGGAAGCAGGAUGAAGUGGGUGGUGGUGAGUCCUGGAUUUUCUUUUUUUUUUUUUUUCCUUUUUUUCUUUUUUUUUUUUUCCUUUUUUUUUUCUCCUUUUUUUGGUCUAGAAUCAGUUUUUGUUUGAGUCAUCUCCACCAUGCCUUCCAUGCUGCCUGUCUUCUCGGAGGGGUUUUUGGUUGUAAUUCCUUUCACUUGGCUCUGCUCAAAUGUCCUUCCUAUCUGUUCAGGAGCCCCUGGCCCCCUGUCCACCCUUGGGCUGGGGCCCGGGCCCUCUUGCCAGUCCCUUCUCUUCAGGAAAUAAAAAUGGACAAACUCAGAGGUAGGGUAAGGGCAGGGAGUCGGUUCAACGGAGAUGCUUACAUUCUGGCGAGGAUGGGUGGAUGGCAGGCCAGGCCCCAUCGGUGCCAGGGUGGGAGGGGCAGCCACUCCACCACUGCCCAGACAAGGCACCCCAAGACCUCCGAAACAGCCGAGGCUCUGCUGCCUCCGUGGCCCAGCCCAACAGUUUCAUUCCCGGGUGGGAGAAGGGAGACAAGAAAGAAAGAGAACGCUGAGGCCUCAGGGCUCAGGGUGGCGUCCGAGGCUCUGUCUGCCUCUCCUCGGAGUGUCCAGCAGCGCUGCCCGGCUCCCGGGCUCUCCCCUCCCUCUGCUCCUGCCCGCCGAGGGCCGAGGGCUGCUCUGAUUUCAAUGGCUCGAGUCCUUCACAACAACACUUUGGUUUGAGGAGAGACACAGAAAGAAGGAGAUUGAGAGGUGAGAGAGGAAGAGGGAGAGACAGAGAAGAGGAGGAGACAGGACAGACGGAAGAGAACAGAAAAAGAACUCAGAGGAGGAAUCAAACCACCCGAAAGUUUGUUAGUUUUCCUUCGUCCAUUCUUUUUUGCUUUCUUAUUCCUUUUUUUCCUGUUUUUUUUUUUUUUUAAAGCUUUUUCAGUUGAUUGGGGGGGCGGGGAGCUUGGGGGGCUCUUCACCCUGUCCCUGACACCCUCUCUCAGCCCUGCCCACCCGCUUCCAUCCACCCUGGCUGAGGGGCAGGCCCAGCCCCAGCCGCCCCCCUGCGGCUUUCCCGAAGACGACGUCCAUGAGGUAUUUGUGAAGAGAAAGAAGCAUCCAUCCUUCCAUCCGCCUUGGGAACCAAGGGCCUGGACCGCUGGUGCAGGGGCUUGGCUCCACCUCGCGGCUCCUUCUUCUUCUUUGAAGAGUCCUCGUCUUCUUUCCCUUAAAUAUAUAUAUAUCUAUAAAUUCUUUCUUUUUCUAGUUUUAAUUUAUUGUUUGUUUGGUUUUUUGUUUCUGUUUUUGUUUUUUCGUUUUUUGUGGGUUUUUUUUGGUUCAAAACUUUGUUGGCCUCCACAAUAGCAGGAGGGCAAGGUGGCUCCCAGCAGUGUCUCUCCUCUGUCGAUGAAGAUGCGUCCAGGGCUGGGCAAACACAGGGUCCAGCCAAGACUCGAGGGAGGUCUCGUGGGAGUGGUGGCCACCACAGCGCCCUCUUGGAUGGGGACCACAGGUC
RNAcentral lists this long non-coding RNA (1895 nucleotides) under Sus scrofa (pig). RNAcentral describes it as "lncRNA (ENSSSCG00070000979.1)". The record is from RNAcentral. Lineage: Eukaryota; Metazoa; Chordata; Mammalia; Artiodactyla; Suidae.